Molecule: ribosomal RNA, 306 nt
Filed under: uncultured cyanobacterium
Lineage: Bacteria; Bacillati; Cyanobacteriota
Description: bacterial SSU rRNA
Rfam family: Bacterial small subunit ribosomal RNA
Source: RNAcentral
GCACGAGCGCAACCCUCGUCCUUAGUUGCCAUCAUUAAGUUGGGCACUUUAAGGAGACUGCCGGUGACAAACCGGAGGAAGGUGGGGAUGACGUCAAGUCAUCAUGCCCCUUACAUCCUGGGCUACACACGUACUACAAUGCAACGGACAAAGGGCAGCCAACUAGCGAUAGUGCGCAAAUCCCAUAAACCGUUGCUCAGUUCAGAUUGCAGGCUGCAACUCGCCUGCAUGAAGGCGGAAUCGCUAGUAAUCGCAGGUCAGCAUACUGCGGUGAAUACGUUCCCGGGCCUUGCACACACCGCCCGU